This is a long non-coding RNA of Ornithorhynchus anatinus (platypus), 2752 nucleotides long. RefSeq lists it as uncharacterized. The transcript is spliced from 3 exons. NCBI's taxonomy places the organism in Eukaryota, Metazoa, Chordata, Mammalia, Monotremata, Ornithorhynchidae. The record is from RefSeq and is a predicted model, not a curated record.
CUUUUUUAAAGGUUUCCAUAACCUCUUUUGAGACCUUAGCCCAGUAGUGAAUCAUCUUUAUGUUGGGGAAGAUUUUCUCAGCAAUAAACUCUCAGAUCACCUUCCCAGCAGGGUGGAGAGAGGAAAGAAGCAGAGGACCCCACCUUCCUUCAUCUUAAAGGUCAUGAAGUAUUGGAACGUUAUUUUCCGCCUAUUGCAGCAUAGAAUUUCGUUAUUCAAUUUUGCUACUCUGCAGUCAUCUUCAUUGGGGACUUCUCUGAAUCUCAGCCUUCCAUUUCAUUCUUUAUUGUCCACCACACGCCCCAUUUAUGUGUUCAAGGAAAUAUGGCUGUUUCAACUACAGCCAAGAAGAAAAGAUCAUUUCUAAAUAGUAACUAGGAGACAUUUGGAAUCCUAGUCACGCAGGAGUGGCUUCUUGUUAACUGCCUAUUGACCAAAUCCCACAGUAGAAAAAACAUUUUCAGCACCGACAUCUUUGCACCAGGGAUCUGGUCACUCGUUCUUCAGCAAAUGACAAGAAGGUGCCCUCCCUCAAACUGUACACUUCUGACUAGAAAAGGGUGAUAUUUGGGUCCAUAACUCAUUUUCAUCCUGUAAUCAAGUCCCACUGAAUCUGAGCAGAAAGGAAGUCCAGAGGUUUACCAUACAGGGCCUAAAAUAGUGUGAGAAAGGAACUAGCUUCAGCCUGGAUGAAAAUCAUUAAAUCAAACACUGGGAAAUUCAUUUCUCAUAAGACUGGAGUCACUGGAGACUUGCCCAGCUAUGAACCAAGAAUAGCCAUUCACAGCCGAGGGGAUGCAGUAGGAAAAUACAGUUCAAGGUGUAAUAAAACUCCUCAUCUGCAGCAAACUUGUGGACUCCGGCAAAUGUUACAGAUCAGUACCUGUGUUAAAAGGUUUAGAGUUACAUGCCUUUGCUUUUUGGAUAACGUUUCUCAAGCGUCUUCCUUCGACUGCAAUUCAUGUUUUAAAGGAAAACAUAUCUCUUGUGUUUUCAGGGGAACAGUGUGGAAAUGGAGGGGCCUCUACUCUUAAGAGGCAGACAUUCUGUAUUUUUGUAUUCAUUUGCAGCUCAGAGACCAUAAAAAAUUUUAAUGAAAAAUGCCAUGGACGGAUUCCAAGAAAUUCUUUUUCAGUGGUGCAAGCAGUUCACUCUGAUGGGUAGAUGGAUAAUUGCUAACAAUAACACAAAGAGAAAACUGGAGGUCAUUUCUAUCAAGGAAUAUGGGAUUGGGUUUAUUGUUUAGAAACAGCAAAAGGGAUCCCAAGAAAGACAAUUUAAAUAAAGGGUGCAACCUUAAUAUUUAAUGUAUGCAUCUAUAUUUAAUAUUCACCUAAUGCUGCCACUUUUGUAGCAUUUGCAGCUCAAGUUGACGACACAGUAAAAACAUUUCCUUUGUUUCUUAGAUUAUAUUUUACAGUUUGAUGCUCUUUCUUUCUACUCCUAAAUUAAAUGUAGGUGUAAUGUUCAACAGCUAGUGUUGGGAGUUCUGUGAUGAUCAUGUACUGGCACCUCUCAUCAGGCCCUAAUGUUAAGAGCCCUAAAAACGUGGAAAACCAUAAAAUGCCAUCUUUUGAGGUCCCAGACCAAGAUGCGGUAUAGCAGCCCCUCAGCUUUGGGUCAAGAAGGGAGCUCCAAAUCCUACUAAAGGCUGCACAAGACAGAUAAUAACUACUGUUCCAGGAAGACUGUUUUAGAGUAGAACUAGAGAACAGACUGAUGAUGGCAGUGAUGUAAACAGAAACUGUCCAAGAGACAGCAUGAUUUUCCCAAGCCUAAGGAAGAAAGCAGAAGGUGUCAUGUUAAACAAACAUCUGCACUGGUGAAUAGCAAACAAUGUGUUUGUCUAGUAAACCAAGCAAAUAGGACUUGGAAGUCAUAGAGGAGGAGGGUGAAACAGAGAAUGCCAAGAAGUCCAUUUUGCCAAAUGACUUCUUUUUUUCUUUCUUUUUUCAUGCUCCAGCAGUCAAGGCAGUAAUUACAAGUCUCUCCAGGGACCCCCAAAGACUAAUAUUCUUCAUUGCUACACAGACUUGCCAAUAGUCUCCCCAAACUGCUCAGGCAGUUAAAGAUGUGAAUGCAGUGGGAGUUAGCGUUUUACCAGGAAAGCAAAUAUUGAGCAAAAUGAGCUCUUAGAAAUCAUUUUCCUUCCCAUUUUUCCAGGAUGAAAGCUCAUUAAAAAUGGCAACUUGGACACCAACUGCCUCUAAAUCCCCUGCAUAGUCAUGGGCAGCUACCCAGAAUGCCAGUGCAAGAUUCCUGAUCUGUUCCAGCCUCUCCCUUGGCAGACCCAGCAGGGACAGAAAUGGAGCAUUCAGUCGUUCUAACCAAAUUCAGUCUUAGCUUCAUGACUUUACCCCCAUUGAUAGCAAGGAGUUGGUUCAACUGAGUUUUGUAUCUGGAAACAGAAUAAGCAGCUAAACUGGUCAACUGAAUUACGUUGGUUUUGGUUUGGUUUUUUUUAAAAUUGCUUAGCAUGUCCAAUGGCCAGUGUGAUUAUAUUUUUCUCUCCAGAGGAACUUUCCCUUGGGUUUACAUUGUCUUCUGGAUAAUCCACACCAGUCGCUUCUUUUUCUAUGAGGCCAAAGCGACUCUUCAUUCUCUUCACCUUCCUCAUAUUAAUGAGCUGCCUCUUCAGGAAUCCAGGAGGUUGGAGUUUUUCAGGCAACCCAAUUUCUUUGGCUUUCUCAGUUCCUUCUUCUCCUAAAUGGUGCUACCUACUAUCAUGAGGCACAGAAAUAAUAAUGAUAAU